RNAcentral lists this long non-coding RNA (214 nucleotides) under Elaeis guineensis (African oil palm). RNAcentral describes it as "long non-coding RNA (EGUI_LNC054259)". The record is from RNAcentral. Lineage: Eukaryota; Viridiplantae; Streptophyta; Magnoliopsida; Arecales; Arecaceae.
CAAUUUUGAUUGAUCAAGAUUAGAUGUAACUAAUUUCUUUGCAACUUGUAUCACAUACAACAACACCUAAGAUUUCAAGAUCUAUAGUUUUGAAAAAAAAUAAGUUUUCUCUUUUCGCUUUCUUCUUCAUGAGACGUCACAGUGGCACCCCUACAAGCUAUGAAGAGCAUCCUAUUGAACGAAAAGAGAGGAUCAUGUAACCCUACUUGCUCCU